AGUCGAGCGGACGGAUGGGAGCUUGCUCCCUGAAGUCAGCGGCGGACGGGUGAGUAACACGUGGGCAACCUGCCUGUAAGACUGGGAUAACUUCGGGAAACCGGAGCUAAUACCGGAUAAUGCACAGCCUCUCAUGAGGCUAUGCUGAAAGAUGGUUUCGGCUAUCACUUACAGAUGGGCCCGCGGCGCAUUAGCUAGUUGGUGAGGUAACGGCUCACCAAGGCAACGAUGCGUAGCCGACCUGAGAGGGUGAUCGGCCACACUGGGACUGAGACACGGCCCAGACUCCUACGGGAGGCAGCAGUAGGGAAUCUUCCGCAAUGGACGAAAGUCUGACGGAGCAACGCCGCGUGAGUGAUGAAGGUUUUCGGAUCGUAAAACUCUGUUGUCAGGGAAGAACAAGUGCCGGAGUAACUGCCGGCACCUUGACGGUACCUGACCAGAAAGCCACGGCUAACUACGUGCCAGCAGCCGCGGUAAUACGUAGGUGGCAAGCGUUGUCCGGAAUUAUUGGGCGUAAAGCGCGCGCAGGCGGUCUCUUAAGUCUGAUGUGAAAGCCCACGGCUCAACCGUGGAGGGUCAUUGGAAACUGGGGGAC
RNAcentral lists this ribosomal RNA (598 nucleotides) under Bacillus sp. CH153a. Its description in RNAcentral is "bacterial SSU rRNA". It matches the Rfam family "Bacterial small subunit ribosomal RNA", at positions 60 to 641 of the family's 1533-position model. The record is from RNAcentral. Lineage: Bacteria; Bacillati; Bacillota; Bacilli; Caryophanales; Bacillaceae.